This 69-nucleotide transfer RNA is filed under the name Curculionoidea sp. 10 KM-2017. RNAcentral's name for it is "tRNA-Met". It matches the Rfam family "tRNA". From Rfam's summary of the family: Transfer RNA (tRNA) molecules are approximately 80 nucleotides in length. The record is from RNAcentral. Lineage: Eukaryota; Metazoa; Arthropoda; Insecta; Coleoptera.
AAAAAGAUAAGCUAAUUAAGCUAAUGGGUUCAUACCCCACAUAUAAAGGUCUUAAUCCUUUUCUUUUUA